RNAcentral lists this ribosomal RNA (253 nucleotides) under uncultured bacterium. RNAcentral describes it as "partial 16S ribosomal RNA". It matches the Rfam family "Bacterial small subunit ribosomal RNA", at positions 524 to 776 of the family's 1533-position model. The record is from RNAcentral.
UACAGAGGGUGCAAGCGUUGUUCGGAAUUAUUGGGCGUAAAGCGCGUGUAGGCGGCUUUGCAAGUCGGGUGUGAAAGCCCUCGGCUUAACCGAGGAAGUGCAUUCGAAACUGACGGUCUUGAGUAUGGAAGAGGGUCGCGGAAUUCCCGGUGUAGAGGUGAAAUUCGUAGAUAUCGGGAGGAACACCAGUGGCGAAGGCGGCGACCUGGGCCAAUACUGACGCUGAGACGCGAAAGCGUGGGGAGCAAACAGG